UAAUCCCAUGGGCUAGCCUUUGGAUUGGU
RNAcentral lists this non-coding RNA (29 nucleotides) under Rattus norvegicus (Norway rat). Lineage: Eukaryota; Metazoa; Chordata; Mammalia; Rodentia; Muridae. The record is from RNAcentral.